Molecule: ribosomal RNA, 174 nt
Filed under: Ascomycota sp. HNY26-2B
Lineage: Eukaryota; Fungi; Ascomycota
Description: 5.8S ribosomal RNA
Rfam family: 5.8S ribosomal RNA (bases 16-169)
About the family: 5.8S ribosomal RNA (5.8S rRNA) is a component of the large subunit of the eukaryotic ribosome. It is transcribed by RNA polymerase I as part of the 45S precursor that also contains 18S and 28S rRNA. Functionally, it is thought that 5.8S rRNA may be involved in ribosome translocation.
Source: RNAcentral
AACUUUAAUAGUUACAACUUUCAACAACGGAUCUCUUGGUUCUGGCAUCGAUGAAGAACGCAGCGAAAUGCGAUAAGUAGUGUGAAUUGCAGAAUUCAGUGAAUCAUCGAAUCUUUGAACGCACAUUGCGCCCCUUGGUAUUCCAUGGGGCAUGCCUGUUCGAGCGUCAUUUGU